UCCUACGGGAGGCAGCAGUGGGGAAUCUUAUACAAUGGGGGCAACCCUGAUCUAGCCAUGCCGCGUGAGUGAUGAAGGCCCUAGGGUCGUAAAGCUCGUUCGCCUGUGAAGAUAAUGACGGUAGCAGGUAAAGAAACCCCGGCUAACUCCGUGCCAGCAGCCGCGGUAAUACGGAGGGGGUUAGCGUUGUUCGGAAUUACUGGGCGUAAAGCGCGCGUAGGCGGACUGUUAAGUCGGGGGUGAAAUCCCGGGGCUCAACCCCGGAACUGCCCUCGAUACUGGCAGUCUUGAGUUCGAGAGAGGUGAGUGGAAUUCCGAGUGUAGAGGUGAAAUUCGUAGAUAUUCGGAGGAACACCAGUGGCGAAGGCGGCUCACUGGCUCGAUACUGACGCUGAGGUGCGAAAGUGUGGGGAGCAGACAGGAUUAGAUACCCUGGUAGUCCACACCGUAAACGAUGAAUGCCAGUCGUCGGGUAGCAUGCUAUUCGGUGACACACCUAACGGAUUAAGCAUUCCGCCUGGGGAGUACGGUCGCAAGAUUAAAACUCAAAUGAAUUGACGG
This 561-nucleotide ribosomal RNA is filed under the name uncultured bacterium. RNAcentral describes it as "bacterial SSU rRNA". It matches the Rfam family "Bacterial small subunit ribosomal RNA", at positions 337 to 916 of the family's 1533-position model. The record is from RNAcentral.